Molecule: ribosomal RNA, 843 nt
Filed under: Triticum aestivum (bread wheat)
Lineage: Eukaryota; Viridiplantae; Streptophyta; Magnoliopsida; Poales; Poaceae
Description: partial small subunit ribosomal RNA
Source: RNAcentral
AUGAAUUGGAUACUUCAAGAGAAGAGAAGAGAAUUGUCACAUAAGGAGAGGCAUGGUGUUUACUUUGCCUUGCUGGUAAUCGAGCUCAGAGAUGGGUCUGUUCAACCAGAUGACAAGCUGCUAGUCUCAAACCUGUUAGACAUAAGUGUACGAUAUGUUGAAAGAAUCUGGGAAGAGGCUAAAAAGCAAAUUGCCGAUGGCAAAGAAGUAGAUGUCUCAAGCAAGAAGCCAGGAAGAUCUGGCCGAAAGAGAAAGGAGCUGGAUCUAGAGAGGACCUCAACAAUCCCACUGAAUAAAAGAAGAACAAUUCGAUCUCUGGCACGGUCUCUAGGUGUGGCCCGAUCGACCCUACAUAAGAGGUUCCAGUUGAAUGAGCUCAACCGCAUCACAAGCACCGUGAAGCCUCACCUCAAGCUAGAGAACAAGCUUGCGAGAUUGAAAUUUUGUAUGUCCAUGGUCGAUGAAAAUUCGAUCUCAACUUCUCGGGCUAUGUUAAAACCAAUGACGAAUAUGGUUCACAUCGAUGAGAAGUGGUUUGACAUGACGAGAGUGAAGAAUAGUUACUAUGUACUUCCAGGAGAACCUGAACCGAAGCGCACCGUGUCAAACACUCACAACAUUGGGAAGGUAAUGUUCCUAACGGCUGUUGCCAGGCCUCGAUAUAACAAUGAGGGGGAGCUAACAUUCGAUGGGAAGAUCGGCAUUUGGGCAUUCGUCGAAGAGACUGAGGCGAAGCGGACAAGUCAGAACGGAAAAAAGGGAACAAAAGUGUUGACAUCAGUGAAAGUAACCAGGCCAGUGUGCAGAGAUUAUCUAAUCAAUAAGGUUAUCCCGGCAAUUUAG